GCCGAGGUGGCGGAAUUGGCAGACGCGUAGGUCUCAAAAACCUAUGAUCUUUACGAUCAUGCGGGUUCGAUCCCCGCUCUCGGCA
This 85-nucleotide transfer RNA is filed under the name Patescibacteria group bacterium. RNAcentral describes it as "tRNA-Leu". It matches the Rfam family "tRNA". Rfam says of the family: Transfer RNA (tRNA) molecules are approximately 80 nucleotides in length. Their secondary structure includes four short double-helical elements and three loops (D, anti-codon, and T loops). Further hydrogen bonds mediate the characteristic L-shaped molecular structure. tRNAs have two regions of fundamental functional importance: the anti-codon, which is responsible for specific mRNA codon recognition, and the 3' end, to which the tRNAs corresponding amino acid is attached (by aminoacyl-tRNA synthetases). tRNAs cope with the degeneracy of the genetic code in two manners: having more than one tRNA (with a specific anti-codon) for a particular amino acid; and 'wobble' base-pairing, i.e. permitting non-standard base-pairing at the 3rd anti-codon position. The record is from RNAcentral.